GUGGGGAAUCUUGCGCAAUGGGCGAAAGCCUGACGCAGCGACGCCGCGUGAGUGAUGAAGGCCUUCGGGUUGUAAAGCUCUGUGGAGGGGGACGAAUAAGUCGGAGCGAAUAGCUCCGAUGAUGACGGUACCUCUUUAGCAAGCACCGGCUAACUCUGUGCCAGCAGCCGCGGUAAGACAGAGGGUGCAAACGUUGUUCGGAAUUACUGGGCGUAAAGCGCGUGUAGGCUGCUCUGCAAGUCGGAUGUGAAAGCCCUGGGCUCAACCUAGGAAGUGCAUUCGAUACUGCUGAGCUUGAGUCCUGGAGAGGAAGGCGGAAUUCUCGGUGUAGAGGUGAAAUUCGUAGAUAUCGAGAGGAACACCGGUGGCGAAGGCGGCCUUCUGGACAGUGACUGACGCUGAGACGCGAAAGCGUGGGGAGCAAACAGGAUUAGAUACCCUGGUAGUCC
RNAcentral lists this ribosomal RNA (449 nucleotides) under uncultured bacterium. RNAcentral's name for it is "bacterial SSU rRNA". It matches the Rfam family "Bacterial small subunit ribosomal RNA", at positions 354 to 796 of the family's 1533-position model. The record is from RNAcentral.